GUGGCGGACGGGUGAGUAACACGUAGGUAACCUGCCCAGAAGCGGGGGACAACAUUUGGAAACAGAUGCUAAUACCGCAUAACAACGUUGUUCGCAUGAACAACGCUUAAAAGAUGGCUUCUCGCUAUCACUUCUGGAUGGACCUGCGGUGCAUUAGCUUGUUGGUGGGGUAACGGCCUACCAAGGCGAUGAUGCAUAGCCGAGUUGAGAGACUGAUCGGCCACAAUGGGACUGAGACACGGCCCAUACUCCUACGGGAGGCAGCAGUAGGGAAUCUUCCACAAUGGGCGCAAGCCUGAUGGAGCAACACCGCGUGAGUGAAGAAGGGUUUCGGCUCGUAAAGCUCUGUUGUUAAAGAAGAACACGUAUGAGAGUAACUGUUCAUACGUUGACGGUAUUUAACCAGAAAGUCACGGCUAACUACGUGCCAGCAGCCGCGGUAAUACGUAGGUGGCAAGCGUUAUCCGGAUUUAUUGGGCGUAAAGAGAGUGCAGGCGGUUUUCUAAGUCUG
Molecule: ribosomal RNA, 511 nt
Filed under: Limosilactobacillus fermentum
Lineage: Bacteria; Bacillati; Bacillota; Bacilli; Lactobacillales; Lactobacillaceae
Description: bacterial SSU rRNA
Rfam family: Bacterial small subunit ribosomal RNA
Source: RNAcentral